This 372-nucleotide ribosomal RNA is filed under the name uncultured bacterium. Its description in RNAcentral is "bacterial SSU rRNA". It matches the Rfam family "Bacterial small subunit ribosomal RNA", at positions 29 to 429 of the family's 1533-position model. The record is from RNAcentral.
AACGAACGCUGGCGGCAUGCCUAACACAUGCAAGUCGAACGAAGUCUUCGGACUUAGUGGCGCACGGGUGCGUAACGCGUGGGAAUCUGCCCUUGGGUGCGGAAUAACUUCUCGAAAGGGAUGCUAAUACCGCAUAAUGUCGUAAGACCAAAGAUUUAUCGCCCAAGGAUGAGCCCGCGUAAGAUUAGCUAGUUGGUGGGGUAAAGCUACCAAGGCGACGAUCUUUAGCUGGUCUGAGAGGAUGAUCAGCCACACUGGGACUGAGACACGGCCCAGACUCCUACGGGAGGCAACAGUGGGGAAUAUUGGACAAUGGGCGAAAGCCUGAUCCAGCAAUGCCGCGUGAGUGGAUGAAGGCCCUAGGGUUGUAAG